This 446-nucleotide ribosomal RNA is filed under the name Pseudoalteromonas sp. 'Disko Bay 181'. Its description in RNAcentral is "bacterial SSU rRNA". It matches the Rfam family "Bacterial small subunit ribosomal RNA", at positions 20 to 468 of the family's 1533-position model. The record is from RNAcentral. Lineage: Bacteria; Pseudomonadati; Pseudomonadota; Gammaproteobacteria; Alteromonadales; Pseudoalteromonadaceae.
UGGCUCAGAUUGAACGCUGGCGGCAGGCCUAACACAUGCAAGUCGAGCGGUAACAGAGAGUAGCUUGCUACUUUGCUGACGAGCGGCGGACGGGUGAGUAAUGCUUGGGAACAUGCCUUGAGGUGGGGGACAACAGUUGGAAACGACUGCUAAUACCGCAUAAUGUGUACGGACCAAAGGGGGCUUCGGCUCUCGCCUUUAGAUUGGCCCAAGUGGGAUUAGCUAGUUGGUGAGGUAAUGGCUCACCAAGGCGACGAUCCCUAGCUGGUUUGAGAGGAUGAUCAGCCACACUGGGACUGAGACACGGCCCAGACUCCUACGGGAGGCAGCAGUGGGGAAUAUUGCACAAUGGGCGCAAGCCUGAUGCAGCCAUGCCGCGUGUGUGAAGAAGGCCUUCGGGUUGUAAAGCACUUUCAGUCAGGAGGAAAGGUUAACGGUUAAUACCC